UACGGGGGGGGCAAGCGUUGUUCGGAAUUACUGGGCGUAAAGGGCUCGUAGGUGGCCAACUAAGUCAGACGUGAAAUCCCUCGGCUUAACCGGGGAACUGCGUCUGAUACUGGCGAGCUAGAGUGCGGUAGAGGAGAGUGGAAUUCCCGGUGUAGCAGUGAAAUGCGUAGAGAUCGGGAGGAACAUCAGUUGCGAAGGCGGCUCUCUGGACCAGCACUGACACUGAGGCACGAAAGCGUGGGGAGCAAACAGG
Molecule: ribosomal RNA, 253 nt
Filed under: uncultured bacterium
Lineage: Bacteria
Description: partial 16S ribosomal RNA
Rfam family: Bacterial small subunit ribosomal RNA
Source: RNAcentral